This 799-nucleotide ribosomal RNA is filed under the name uncultured bacterium. RNAcentral describes it as "bacterial SSU rRNA". It matches the Rfam family "Bacterial small subunit ribosomal RNA", at positions 22 to 820 of the family's 1533-position model. The record is from RNAcentral.
GCUCAGGACGAACGCUGGCGGCGUGCUUAACACAUGCAAGUCGAACGGAAAGGCCCUGCUUUUGUGGGGUGCUCGAGUGGCGAACGGGCGAGUAACACGUGAGUAACCUGCCCUUGACUUUGGGAUAACUUCAGGAAACUGGGGCUAAUACCGGAUAGGAGCUCCUGCUGCAUGGUGGGGGUUGGAAAGUUUCGGCGGUUGGGGAUGGACUCGCGGCUUAUCAGCUUGUUGGUGGGGUAGUGGCUUACCAAGGCUUUGACGGGUAGCCGGCCUGAGAGGGUGACCGGCCACAUUGGGACUGAGAUACGGCCCAGACUCCUACGGGAGGCAGCAGUGGGGAAUAUUGCACAAUGGGCGGAAAGCCUGAUGCAGCAACGCCGCGUGCGAGGAUGACGGCAUUUGGGUGUGUAAACUCGCUUUCGUAUAUAGGAAGAUAAUGACGGUACUGGAUAUGAAUAAGCACCGGCUAACUCCGUGCCAGCAGCCGCGGUAAUACGGAGGGUGCAAGCGUUACUCGGAAUCACUGGGCGUAAAGCGCGCGCAGGCGGUUUGAUAAGUUGGAUGUGAAAUCCUAUGGCUUAACCAUAGAACUGCAUCCAAAACUGUCAAACUAAGAGUCUGGGAGGGGAAGAUGGAAUUAGUGGUGUAAGGGGUAAAAUCCGUAGAGAUCACUAGGAAUACCAAAAGCGGGAAAGGCCGAUCUUCUGGAACAAGUACUGACGCUUAGGCGCNAAAGCGUGGGGAGCAAACAGGAUUAAGAUACCCUGGUAGUCCACGCCCUAAACGAUUGAAUGUUUAG